RNAcentral lists this microRNA (24 nucleotides) under Ciona intestinalis (vase tunicate). Its description in RNAcentral is "Cin-Mir-8-P1_3p (mature (guide))". Lineage: Eukaryota; Metazoa; Chordata; Ascidiacea; Phlebobranchia; Cionidae. The record is from RNAcentral.
UAAUACUGCCUGGUAAUGGUGAUU